This 465-nucleotide ribosomal RNA is filed under the name Vreelandella stevensii. Its description in RNAcentral is "partial 16S ribosomal RNA". It matches the Rfam family "Bacterial small subunit ribosomal RNA", at positions 338 to 795 of the family's 1533-position model. The record is from RNAcentral. Lineage: Bacteria; Pseudomonadati; Pseudomonadota; Gammaproteobacteria; Oceanospirillales; Halomonadaceae.
CCUACGGGUGGCAGCAGUGGGGAAUAUUGGACAAUGGGCGAAAGCCUGAUCCAGCCAUGCCGCGUGUGUGAAGAAGGCCUUCGGGUUGUAAAGCACUUUCAGUGGGGAAGAAAGCCUUGGGGCUAAUACCCUCGAGGAAGGACAUCACCCACAGAAGAAGCACCGGCUAACUCCGUGCCAGCAGCCGCGGUAAUACGGAGGGUGCGAGCGUUAAUCGGAAUUACUGGGCGUAAAGCGCGCGUAGGCGGUCUGAUAAGCCGGUUGUGAAAGCCCCGGGCUCAACCUGGGAACGGCAUCCGGAACUGCCAGGCGAGAGUGCAGGAGAGGAAGGUAGAAUCCCCGGUGUAGCGGUGAAAUGCGUAGAGAUCGGGAGGAAUAACAGUGGCGAAGGCGGCCUUCUGGACUGACACUGACGCUGAGGUGCGAAAGCGUGGGUAGCAAACAGGAUUAGAUACCCGAGUAGUC